This 72-nucleotide non-coding RNA is filed under the name Sedimentitalea nanhaiensis. RNAcentral describes it as "Singlet oxygen resistance RNA X". It matches the Rfam family "Singlet oxygen resistance RNA X". From Rfam's summary of the family: SorX (RSs2461)like SorY is a singlet oxygen induced sRNA that counteracts oxidative stress by targeting mRNA for a transporter in Rhodobacter. Lineage: Bacteria; Pseudomonadati; Pseudomonadota; Alphaproteobacteria; Rhodobacterales; Paracoccaceae. The record is from Rfam by way of RNAcentral.
ACCCCGCGUAUGUCCGGGUUAUGACAUACACCUCCCUGUUGGACUUGGCCGGGCAAAUGCCCGGCCUUUUUU